AGUAAUGCAGGGUCUGAAGGAAGCCGGAGGCAAAGGUGCGGGUCGAUGAACAAGAACCUCAUAGUAGGCUUGCUGAAUGGAUGAGUCUGCAUAGUAGGAUAAAAUCCAAGACUGGGUUCAGGAAGUAAAUGGGGCGGCCACAUGCGCUGAAAGUCAUU
Molecule: non-coding RNA, 158 nt
Filed under: pig gut metagenome
Source: RNAcentral